Lycium barbarum (goji berry) is the source of this 3471-nucleotide RNA transcript. It is a transcript of the gene named two-component response regulator ARR12-like, with no coding region annotated. Lineage: Eukaryota; Viridiplantae; Streptophyta; Magnoliopsida; Solanales; Solanaceae. The transcript has 7 exons. The record is from RefSeq and is a predicted model, not a curated record.
CAUAUAUACUACAACAUCUUUUUACAUCUAUAUAUAUGUAUAAUGUACUAUUUUAUUAGGGUGGUGGGGUGUAUAUAGGAAAAAGCAAAAGGACAAACAUAAACAGAAGAAGAAGAUAAAGUAUAGUUGUGAUGACUAGAAAAAAAAACUACUACUAUGAUUUGUUAUAUUGUUGAGUUGAAACCAAUCACUUUGUUCUAGCAAUAAACCAUCAUUGUCUACACAUACAGGCUUUUUUACUCACUUACUACUAAAAACUCAUUUCAAAGUUUCAAUCUUUUUGAUCUAUUUUUUCAGUUCUUGGAUUUAUUUAGGCAAUUGGUUGGUUUUAUGGGGUUUUGAGAAAGAUUCAAGAAAGUUAACUUUUUUUUUUUUGAGUGUUUGGAUUUAUUUAGCCAAUUGGUUUUGUGGGGUUUUGAGAAAGGUUCAAGAAAGUUAAAUUUUUUUUUUUUUUUUUUGUGUGUGUGUGUUUUUGGAUUUAUUUAGGCAAUUUGGUUUUAUGGGGUUUUGAGAAAGAUUCAAGAAAGUGAUUUUUUUUUUUUUUGUGUUUUGUGGUAAAGUUUUGAACAUUUUUGUGUGGGAUUCUUGAUUUUGGGUGCAAUCUUUUUUGUGUGUGUGUGUUUUGUGGUAAAGUUUUGAACUUUUUUUGUGUGGGAUUCUUGAUUUUGGGUGCAAUCUUUUUUGUGUGUGUGUGUGUUUUGUGGUAAAGUUUUGAACUUUUUUGUGUGGGAUUCUUGAUUUUGGGUGCAAUCUUUUUGUGCGUCUGUUUGUGUGUGUUUUGUGGUAAAGUUUAGAACUUUUUUGUGUGGGAUUCUUGAUUUUGGGUGCAAUCUUUUUUGUGUGUGUGUGUUUUGUGGUAAAGUUUUGAACUUUUUUUGUGUGGGAUUCUUGAUUUUGGGUGCAAUCUUUUUUGUGUGUGUGUGUUUUGUGGUAAAGUUUUGAACUUUUUUGUGUGGGAUUCUUGAUUUUGGGUGCAAUCUUUUUGUGCGUCUGUUUGUGUGUGUUUUGUGGUAAAGUUUUGAACUUUUUUGUGUGGGAUUCUUGAUUUUGGGUGCAAUCAUUUUUGUGUGUGUGUUUUGUGGUAAAGUUUUGAACUUUUUUUGUGUGGGAUUCUUGAUUUUGGGUGCAAUUUUUUUUUGUGGGGUUCAAGAAAAUGACUGUGGAAGAAAUUAGAGGGAAUAUGGUUGGUGGUGGUGAAAGGGUAAAUAAUUAUGACAAUUUCCCAAUUGGUAUGAGAGUUCUUGCUGUUGAUGAUGACCCUAUUUGUUUGAAGCUUUUGGAUACUUUGCUCAGGAAAUGCCAGUAUCAGGCAACUACCACAAGUCAAGCAAGGAUGGCAUUGAAGAUGUUGAGGGAGAAUAGAGAUAGAUUUGAUUUGGUUAUCAGUGAUGUUCACAUGCCUGAUAUGGAUGGCUUUAAACUUCUUGAACUUGUUGGUCUUGAGAUGGAUCUUCCCGUCAUAAUGUUGUCUGCAAACAGCGAUACCAGACUUGUAAUGAAGGGAAUCAGUCAUGGUGCUUGUGACUAUCUGGUGAAACCUGUGCGGAUCGAGGAGUUGAGGAAUAUAUGGCAACAUGUGGUCAGAAGAAAGAAGGUUGAACCUAAGAGCCAGAGCAAGUCUAGCGAUCAUGACAAAUCUUAUCAGGGAAGUGGAGAAAGUGGCCGAGGGCAAUCACCAACAGAUCAAAAUGGCAAAUGUAACAAGAAAAGGAAGGAAGAAGAAGACGAGAAUGAUGAAAAUGGGAAUGACAAUGAUGAUCCAACAACUCAGAAGAGAGCUCGUGUCGUUUGGUCCAUAGAGCUUCACAGGAAGUUUGUUGCAGCUGUCGGUCAGUUGGGCAUCGAAAAAGCUGUCCCAAAGAGGAUUCUUGAUCUGAUGAAUGUUGAGGGGCUUACAAGGGAAAAUGUGGCAAGCCAUCUCCAGAAGUAUAGGCUUUACUUGAAAAGAAUCAAUUCAGUACAAACCCAGCAAGCCAACAUGGUUGCUGCAUUAGGGGGAAGGGACUUUAUGCGAAUGGGCUCACUGGACGGGUUUGGAGAUUUUCGAACAUUGGGUGGAUCAGGACGGUAUCCUCAUGCUGCCUUGUCAUCAUCGUACACUUCGCCCGGAGGAGGCAUGCUUGGCAGACUAAAUAGUGCUGCUGGUCUAAGCGUUCGCCAGCUGGCAGGAUCUCAUGGUCAAACUUUGAGCAACCCCGUUAAUGCUUUCACAAAACUGAAUCCAAAUAUUUUACCUGCUAGCCAGAAUGCUAGUUUAUUUCAAGGAAUUCCUGCAUCAUUGGAGCUUGAUCAACUGCAGCAGAGUAAGUCCACGGGGCAUAUUCCUUUGGAUGAUGUGCUCGGUUGCUCAAAUAACUCCUUAUCCAAUGUACCAAAUAAUCCUAUAUUGCUUCAAGGAAAUCCCGUUGGAAAUCAGCACUCUCUAAGCAUGACUCCAUUUAGCUCAGACUCGUUCAAUGCUGGUGUUAAUGGUUCUUCCAACUGGCAAAAUUCCGUUCAGUUAUCGAAGUUCCAGUCAAGUUCUUUCCCGUUGACUGAAUCCUUCAUUAACAGCCAUUUGCCUCAAAAUAGUGUGAGAGAAGCUGCGACAACUCAUUUACAAAACAGCCCUCUUGAUUUUACUUCCACUGCCACAGUUUCUCCUCCUUUUGAAGAUUCUUCAAGGGGAGAAAUCCAAUACCGUGAAAGUAUGGCUGGUGCUGUUCAGAGUAUGAAUCAACCACCAUCUCAAGCAUGGGCCGAUAAUAAACAACGUUUUUCCCACAACUCAAAUAAUACUUUCGGCAAUAACUUAAGCUCUCAGGUUCCAAACAAUGGUAGCAUGGCUUCUCUAAGGAUGGACAUGUCAUUGAUUGGUAGAUCGAAUGGAGGUUCUUCGACACUCGUGCAGCACACCGAGCAUGAAAAGUUAACCCCGGAUUCAAGGACAAGGUCAAAUGAAGACUACCUCUUGGAGCCAACCAGGCAACAAGUAGGUUUUAGUCCACAAGGCUAUGACUCCCUGGAUGAUUUAAUGAGUGCAAUGAAACGGAGGGCUUGAUGACAUAUUUUGCUUCCCCAACAAUAACAACCAAUGCCACAAAAGCGGGCUGAAUCAAAUGGCUCUGUUGGCUAUCUCUUCCUAUAGCUUCUUGGGAUUAAACACUGUUUCCCCGUGGGGUUAUUUGAUGUCAAUAAGGAGCAAGAUGGAGGAAUGUUAGAUGCAGAACAAUAUGGAUUUGAUAAUUAUCCUUUUGGAUCAUGACUAUGAAGGAUUUUGUAGCUGUCAGUGAAUUCAGCAAGAAGAGGAUCUAGCUAGGUUGCAGCAAUACUAAUUUUCUCCUUUAGGAGUUAGUGUCAAUAUGUAGUAUUUGCCGGGCUUUUAUCCCACGUUAGUCCCGCCUUAUUCGUUAUUUUCUCCUGGAAAUGAUGUUAUUGACAGUACAAUUUCUAAUGCAAAUUGCUUGCUGCUUCUUAGCUCGUUUGCUUUGA